AAAGUAGAGGGGUGAUCCGCGUGGGGGCACACAAUCUCUCAGAAGACAUUUCAGUCUGAACCGGAGUUGUCACCUCUGUUGGUCACCGCCACCCCGUGCUCUGCGGGGGAGGCGGUGUAGCAGAGGGAUAACAGGAUGAAGAAAAUGUUCAUACGACACCUUCUUAUAAGGCGACGUCCUGAAAGUUGCGAGCGAGGAUCGUUGCUUAAAUCUGCACAAGGAGCAGUUUUCCUAUGAGGAAACGUCAAGAAGCCGUUUAAUAUUGUUUAAUUAUAUAUCAACUAUUAUACGUUAUAAACAAAUUAUUUUAGUCAUCCCUACUAUAGUCAUAUUAUAUUAUUAUUACUAUUGUAAGAACUAGGAUUAGUGUGUUAAAAUUACAAAUAAUGUAUUGAAAAUAUGUAAGUAAUAAUUUUAAUUCACAUUUAAACUUUGGUGGAUGCAAAACGUUAUCGGUUGCGGCAUGCUCAAGCCAAAUACCAUCUUUCUACCGCUUCGAUAAGUCCUGUAUCCUUCACGAUUUGUUUUUGUCUCUGUAAUCACUAAGUACACCUACCACAACGAUGUUAUUUGAUAAGCUUUAUUCAUUUUCAUAGGUUAAGUUAAAUUUUGAACGUAUAUUACGUUUAAAAGGAAUAUUUAUCUAUAUUAUCUAUUAUAUCCGUAUACCUGCAUAUCCUUAUAACCAUUUUAAUGUAUUUUGUAAAAAAAGAUCAUACAUGCUUAAAUACAUAACUAUUACCAAAAGAUUUAAA
Molecule: long non-coding RNA, 755 nt
Organism: Cimex lectularius (bed bug)
Lineage: Eukaryota; Metazoa; Arthropoda; Insecta; Hemiptera; Cimicidae
Exons: 3
Source: RefSeq, a predicted model, not a curated record